Molecule: ribosomal RNA, 934 nt
Filed under: uncultured Mycoplasma sp.
Lineage: Bacteria; Bacillati; Mycoplasmatota; Mollicutes; Mycoplasmatales; Mycoplasmataceae
Description: bacterial SSU rRNA
Rfam family: Bacterial small subunit ribosomal RNA
Source: RNAcentral
CGGGAAGCAGCAGUAGGGAAUCUUCCACAAUGGACGAAAGUCUGAUGGAGCAAUGCCAUGUGAACGAUGAAGGUCAUAAAGAUCGUAAAGUUCUUUUAGGGGGGAAAACUCUGAUGGUACCUCCUGAAUAAGUGACAGCAAACUAUGUGCCAGCAGCUGCGGUAAUACAUAGGUCGCGAGCGUUAUUCGGAUUUAUUGGGCGUAAAGCAAGCGCAGGCGGAUUGAUAAGUUCUGUAUUAAAAGCAGCUGCUCAACAGUUGUUUGUACCGAAUACUGUCAGUCUAGAAUUUGGUAGGAAGUUUUGGAAUUAAACAUGGAGCGGUGGAAUGUGUAGAUAUGUUUAAGAACACCAGAGGCGAAGGCGAAAACUUAGGCCAUAAUUGACGCUUAGGCUUGAAAGUGUGGGUAGCAAAUGGGAUUAGAUACCCCAGUAGUCCACACCGUAAACGAUGGGUAUUAGAUGUUGGGACUUGUGUCUCAGUGUCGUAGCUUACGUGUUAAAUACCCCGCCUGGGUAGUACAUAUGCAAAUAUGAAACUCAAAGGAAUUGACGGGGACCUGAACAAGUGGUGGAACAUGUUGCUUAAUUCGAUACUACACGAAAAACCUUACCAAGGUUUGACAUCCCCAGCGAAGGUAUAGAAAUAUAUUGGAGGCUAUCUGGGUGACAGGUGGUGCAUGGUUGUCGUCAGCUCGUGUCAUGAGAUGUUUGGUUAAGUCCCGCAACGAGCGCAACCCUACUUCUUAGUUGUUUGUCUAAGUUGACUGAAUCGUAAGAUAUAGGAAGGUUGGGAUCACGUUAAAUCAUCAUGCCCCUUAUGCCUUGGGCUGCAAACGUGUUACAAUGGUGAGUACAAUGUGCAGCAAACUAGCGAUAGCGAGCAAAUCACUAAAACUCAUCUCAGUCCGGAUAAAAGGCUGCAAUUCGCCUUUU